RNAcentral lists this ribosomal RNA (422 nucleotides) under uncultured bacterium. RNAcentral's name for it is "bacterial SSU rRNA". It matches the Rfam family "Bacterial small subunit ribosomal RNA", at positions 355 to 774 of the family's 1533-position model. The record is from RNAcentral.
UAAGGAAUAUUGGACAAUGGAGGCAACUCUGAUCCAGCCAUGCCGCGUGAAGGAAUAAGGCCCUAUGGGUUGUAAACUUCUUUUAGACGGGACAAAACCCCUUUACGUGUAAAGGGUUGAUGGUACUGUCAGAAUAAGCAUCGGCUAACUUCGUGCCAGCAGCCGCGGUAAUACGAAGGAUGCAAGCGUUAUCCGGAAUUAUUGGGUUUAAAGGGUGCGUAGGCGGACUAAUAAGUCAGUGGUGAAAGCCUGCAGCUUAACUGCAGAAUUGCCAUUGNUACUGUUAGGCUUGAGUACAGUUGAGGUAGGCGGAAUGUGUCAUGUAGCGGUGAAAUGCUUAGAUAUGACACAGAACACCGAUUGCGAAGGCAGCUUGCUAAGCUGUAACUGACGCUGAGGCACGAAAGCGUGGGGAGCAAACA